This 253-nucleotide ribosomal RNA is filed under the name uncultured bacterium. Its description in RNAcentral is "partial 16S ribosomal RNA". It matches the Rfam family "Bacterial small subunit ribosomal RNA", at positions 524 to 776 of the family's 1533-position model. The record is from RNAcentral.
UACGUAGGGGGCAAGCGUUGUCCGGAAUCAUUGGGCGUAAAGCGCGUGUAGGCGGCUUGUUAAGUCCGCUCUGAAAGCCCGGGGCUCAACCCCGGGAGGCGGGUGGAUACUGUCAAGCUCGAGUCCGGAAGAGGCGAGUGGAAUUCCUGGUGUAGCGGUGGAAUGCGUAGAGAUCAGGAAGAACACCAAUUGCGAAGGCAGCUCGCUGGGACGUUACUGACGCUGAGACGCGAAAGCGUGGGGAGCAAACAGG